CCUACGGGUGGCUGCAGUAAGGAAUAUUGGUCAAUGGAGGCAACUCUGAACCAGCCAUGCCGCGUGCAGGAAGACGGCCCUAUGGGUUGUAAACUGCUUUUGUACCAGAGAAAACCCCGGUACGUGUACCGGGUUGAUAGUAUGGUAAGAAUAAGCAUCGGCUAACUUCGUGCCAGCAGCCGCGGUAAGACGAAGGAUGCAAGCGUUAUCCGGAUUCAUUGGGUUUAAAGGGUGCGUAGGCGGACCUGUAAGUCAGUGGUGAAAUCUCUCAGCUU
RNAcentral lists this ribosomal RNA (275 nucleotides) under uncultured bacterium. RNAcentral's name for it is "partial 16S ribosomal RNA". It matches the Rfam family "Bacterial small subunit ribosomal RNA", at positions 338 to 610 of the family's 1533-position model. The record is from RNAcentral.